CACCAACGUAAAACAAGAAGAAGAAGAAUCAGAGUAGUCGGAGAAGAAGAAACAAUAACACGAACCGGCUAAUCUUUUCAAUAUUGUUUGUCAUUUUCACGAGUUUUUGCUUCUUUAAAAUAGUGUGUGAACGCGUUAAAUUGCUACAUUUAAAUCGAUACCGUUGUUUGUGUGGCCGUACAGAGCCACGGUGUGUUUUUUAGCGCAGCAUUCCGCUAGCUUAGGUUAUCAUCAGCGGUGUGUCGGUGGGAACAGGCCGGGUAGAGAAUGAACUCUGUGGGGUACUGCGUCACUCUGGGCCCGCAGCUUCGCGAUGACGAGGCCCUGGUGGUGGAGAACGCCAUUCGACUGGCUGUGGACUCCAUCGUUAACGUUCUGUUCGGUGUGAACAGCUCCAGGGCCCGGGAAUACCACCGGGUCCUGUCCGACCGGGACAAAGAGAUCCAGCGGCUGGAGACCAGGCUGAGGGAGACGGAGGAAGAGCUGGAGGUGCUCCGUCAGCUGGGCUGCGGCUGCGGGGGGAACGGGACCCAGAGAAGCCUCGGGAGAAGCCCGAGCUCUGGUGACCUGAGAGUAGCAGGGCAGAGCGGACCCGAGGCGGUGUGUGAGGACUCAGAGGAACCAGAGCAACAACAGCAGCAGCAGCACUGCGAAAUGACUUUAACACUGGGCCUUUAUGCAGAACCUCCAGCUCACGUGUCCCCCCCCGACAUGGAGUCUGCGCUCCACCCCUCCCAAAGCCGUCGAAUGGAGAAGGAGACGAGUCACGCAUUUGCUCCUUCAGGAAUGUCGUGCGAUAGGAACGUUCCUCCGUCUGCUGGCGCCCCCCUCGUCGUCAAAGAGGAGCCACACGACAUCAACUCUGUCCUCAUCAAGUGGGAGAUGAACGAAGAUGGAGCCCAGGUGCCUCCAGAGAGCACGCACAGCGCCAGUGUCGCAAACGUGGAGAGUGGAGACGGGACGCAUUUUGGAGAGAUCCCUCAUGUAGACGUCCAGGCCCUGAGAAUGAAUACGAGUGAACAGAUCAGUAAAACGCUGGUGCUGGUGAGGUGUCGCCAACAGUUGAUGUAUGUGACGUUGGAAGAAGCUGACGAGCACUUUGACUUUCACAGAUUCAAUGAACAAGGUACGUCAUUCUCACCGUCAGUUCCACCUUGUAGAGCAGAGAUGGGCAACUUUUAUCAUUGUUUUUGUUUAUUUGUGUGUUUCUGUUGUAAUUUUGUAUAUUUUUCUGUGUGUUGUUGUUGUCUUUUGUGUUUUUUUAAUCAUAUUGUUUAGUUUUAUUAUCAUUGUGAGUCAUUUUAUGUUUUGUGUAUAUGUGUGCGUAUGUGUUUGUGAUGAGUCAUUUUUUUGUGUAUAUUUUUAUUUUUCUGUUGUUAUUUGUGUG
RNAcentral lists this long non-coding RNA (1387 nucleotides) under Gouania willdenowi (blunt-snouted clingfish). Its description in RNAcentral is "lncRNA (ENSGWIG00000008264.1)". Lineage: Eukaryota; Metazoa; Chordata; Actinopteri; Blenniiformes; Gobiesocidae. The record is from RNAcentral.